RNAcentral lists this non-coding RNA (117 nucleotides) under Caenorhabditis japonica. RNAcentral describes it as "Eukaryotic small subunit ribosomal RNA". It matches the Rfam family "Eukaryotic small subunit ribosomal RNA", at positions 1 to 128 of the family's 1831-position model. Lineage: Eukaryota; Metazoa; Nematoda; Chromadorea; Rhabditida; Rhabditidae. The record is from Rfam by way of RNAcentral.
UACCUGUUUGAUUCUGUCAGCGCGAUAUGCUCAAGUAAAAGAUUAAGCCAUGCAUGCUUUGAUUCAUAAAUGAAAUUGCGUACGGCUCAUUAGAGCAGAUAUCACCUUUCUCGGAAU